RNAcentral lists this ribosomal RNA (247 nucleotides) under uncultured Oscillospiraceae bacterium. RNAcentral describes it as "partial 16S ribosomal RNA". It matches the Rfam family "Bacterial small subunit ribosomal RNA", at positions 796 to 1041 of the family's 1533-position model. Lineage: Bacteria; Bacillati; Bacillota; Clostridia; Eubacteriales; Oscillospiraceae. The record is from RNAcentral.
CACGCCGUAAACGAUGAUUACUGGGUGUAGGGGGUAUCGACUCCCUCUGUGCCGAAGCUAACGCGAUAAGUAAUCCACCUGGGGAGUACGGCCGCAAGGCUAAAACUCAAAGGAAUUGACGGGGGCCCGCACAAGCAGUGGAGUAUGUGGUUUAAUUCGAGGCAACGCGAAGAACCUUACCAGGGUUUGACAUCCCGCGCAACGGGUAGAGAUACCCGGUUCCCUUCGGGGACGCGGAGACAGGUGG